This 1219-nucleotide unclassified non-coding RNA is filed under the name Homo sapiens (human). RNAcentral's name for it is "long intergenic non-protein coding RNA 3124 (ENSG00000290517.1)". The record is from RNAcentral. Lineage: Eukaryota; Metazoa; Chordata; Mammalia; Primates; Hominidae.
GCUUUUAGAGCACUGUGAUGUAACAUGUCAAGCAGAAAUAGGGAGCAUGUUUACAGCCAUUCUAUGAAAAAGUGUUCGGAAUGUACAGACUAGCACAGAAGCUGGACUAAUUGAACAAGUAUUGCUGAAAAUGAGUGCUGUAGAUGACAUGAUAGCAGAGUACCUUCAAGUUUAAAUCUGAGAGUGAUAUUCAUUUGGCAGAACAUCAUAAACAGGUUUUGUAUGAUGGGAAACUUGCAAGUAGCAUUACCUUUACAUAUACUGCUAAGGCCACUGAUGCUCAACUCUGCCUGGAAUCAUCACCAAAAGAGAAUGCAUCAAUUUUUGUGCAUUCCCAACAUGCUCUAAUGCUUCAGAUUCAAGUGCUUUUUCCACUGUUUCCCCAAUUGGAUAAUCGGCAGCUCAAUGACAGUCAAGUGGAAACAACUGUCUGCUCCUGCUUCAGGUGCAGAAAUACAGCGAUUUCCAGUGCCAGCUGUUGAGCCAGUGCCAGCACCAGGGGCAGAUUCCCCUCCAGGGACAGCGCUGGAGCUAGAGGAAGCUCCAGAGCCCUCCUGCCGCUGCCCUGGGACUGCCCAGGACCAGCCCAGUGAGGAGCUGCCUGACUUCAUGGCACCUCCUGUAGAGCCACCGGCCUCAGCCCUGGAGCUGAAAGUGUGGCUGGAGCUAGAGGUGGCAGAGAGGGGUGGCCAGCACAGCUCCAGCCAGCAGCUCCCACACUGCUCCCAGUCCUGGGCACAGUGGAAGCUAUGGAGGCAGAGACCAGGGUUUGCAAUCUGGGCUCCUCUGCCUCACUGGAGAGGGACUUCUCCCAUUCAGCAGAGCAGCAGCCCUGCUGCUGAAGGGCCUGCUGCUACUGCUGCUGGGGGUGUUUGCCUGCCUGCAGGAGGUGCUGGAGAGCAAGAAAAGGAGCCUGUGAGCAGGGGUUCCAGCAGGUCCUCCUGCUCCCAGAGGCGACCUCCUCCUCCAGGCAUGGAGGUUUGCCCUCAGCUGGGCAUCUGGGCCAUUUGCCCCUAAUGUGCUGCCCAGGAUGGCCUCUUCUUGACAGGCGGACAGGGGGUGAGGGGGCCAGGGGCAUCUCCAAAGGAAGCUUUUAAACUCAGCAGCUGCACCCCAGAAUCUGUAUGCCUGCACCUGCCCAAGGAUUUAUUCAUAGCUUACCUAAGAAUUUCAAAUUUCUACCAUAACACUGAAAUAAAGUUUGACUUUUUGAAACUUC